GAUGAACGCUAGCGGGAGGCUUAACACAUGCAAGUCGAGGGGCAGCAUAGGGUAGCAAUACUCUGAUGGCGACCGGCAAACGGGUGAGUAACGCGUAUGUAACCUACCCUGUACAGGGGGAUAACCCGGAGAAAUUCGGACUAAUAUCCCAUAACAAUAUCCGGGGGCAUCUUUGGAUAUUUAAAGUUCCGGCGGUACGGGAUGGGCAUGCGUAACAUUAGCUAGUUGGUAAGGUAACGGCUUACCAAGGCUUUGAUGUUUAGGGGUCCUGAGAGGGUGGUCCCCCACACUGGUACUGAGACACGGACCAGACUCCUACGGGAGGCAGCAGUGAGGAAUAUUGGUCAAUGGGCGCAAGCCUGAACCAGCCAUCCCGCGUGCAGGAAGACGGCGCUAUGCGUUGUAAACUGCUUUUCCAGGGAGAGAAACUUGCGCACGUGUUGCGCAAUUGACGGUACCCUGGGAAUAAGCAUCGGCUAACUCCGUGCCAGCAGCCGCGGUAAUACGU
This 508-nucleotide ribosomal RNA is filed under the name uncultured bacterium. RNAcentral describes it as "bacterial SSU rRNA". It matches the Rfam family "Bacterial small subunit ribosomal RNA", at positions 28 to 528 of the family's 1533-position model. The record is from RNAcentral.